GACGUAGGGGGCGAGCGUUGCUCGGAAUCACUGGGCGUAAAGCGCACGUAGGCGGCUUUCUAAGUCAGGGGUGAAAUCCCGGAGCUCAACUCCGGAACUGCCUUUGAUACUGGGAGGCUCGAGUCCGGGAGAGGUGAGUGGAACUGCGAGUGUAGAGGUGAAAUUCGUAGAUAUUCGCAAGAACACCAGUGGCGAAGGCGGCUCACUGGCCCGGUACUGACGCUGAGGUGCGAAAGCGUGGGGAGCAAACAGG
Molecule: ribosomal RNA, 253 nt
Filed under: uncultured bacterium
Lineage: Bacteria
Description: partial 16S ribosomal RNA
Rfam family: Bacterial small subunit ribosomal RNA
Source: RNAcentral